GACGAACGCUGGCGGCGUGCUUAACACAUGCAAGUCGAACGGAAAGGCCCUGCUUUUGUGGGGUGCUCGAGUGGCGAAAGGGUGAGUAACACGUGAGUAACCUGCCCUUGACUUUGGGAUAACUUCAGGAAACUGGGGCAAAUACCGGAUAGGAGCUCCUGCUGCAUGGUGGGGGUUGGAAAGUUUCGGCGGUUGGGGAUGGACUCGCGGCUUAUCAGCUUGUUGGUGGGGUAGUGGCUUACCAAGGCUUUGACGGGUAGCCGGCCUGAGAGGGUGACCGGCCACAUUGGGACUGAGAUACGGCCCAGACUCCUACGGGAGGCAGCAGUGGGGAAUAUUGCACAAUGGGCGGAAGCCUGAUGCAGCAACGCCGCGUGCGGGAUGACGGCCUUCGGGUUGUAAACCGCUUUCGCCUGUGACGAAGCGUGAGUGACGGUAAUGGGUAAAGAAGCACCGGCUAACUACGUG
RNAcentral lists this ribosomal RNA (468 nucleotides) under uncultured bacterium. Its description in RNAcentral is "partial 16S ribosomal RNA". It matches the Rfam family "Bacterial small subunit ribosomal RNA", at positions 28 to 507 of the family's 1533-position model. The record is from RNAcentral.